GGGGAUUUAGCUCAGUGGUAGAGCACUUGCCUAGGAAGCGCAAGACUCUGGGUUCGGUCCCCAGCUCCG
Non-coding RNA from Rattus norvegicus (Norway rat), 69 nucleotides. The record is from Rfam. Lineage: Eukaryota; Metazoa; Chordata; Mammalia; Rodentia; Muridae.